Molecule: ribosomal RNA, 503 nt
Filed under: Platerodrilus maninjauensis
Lineage: Eukaryota; Metazoa; Arthropoda; Insecta; Coleoptera; Lycidae
Description: partial large subunit ribosomal RNA
Rfam family: Bacterial large subunit ribosomal RNA (bases 366-503)
Source: RNAcentral
AUGUCUUUUUGAUUUUUUGAUCUAAGGUCUAAUCUGCUCAAUGAUUAAUUAAAUUGCCGCAGUAUUUUAACUGUGCUAAGGUAGCAUAAUCAAUAGUUUCUUUAUUGGGAACUGGAAUGAAUGAUUGGACAAGAUAAUUUCUGUCUCUUUUUAAAUUGAUUUUUAAUUUUAUUUUUAAGUUAAAAAGCUUAAAUGAUUUUAAAAGACGAGAAGACCCUAUAGAAUUUUACAUUAUAGUGUUUUUAGUAAUUUCAAUUUUGUUUAUUUGGGGUGAUUUGAGGAUUUGAUUAAUUCUUUAAAUUUUAAAUUGAUGAUAAUUAAUUUUAAAUUUUAAUUAUUUUAAGUAUAAAAUAAAUUACCUUAGGGAUAACAGCGUAAUUUUUCUUUAAAGUUCUAAUUAUAAGAAAAGUUUGCGACCUCGAUGUUGGAUUAAAAUUAAUUUUUGGCGCAGCAGCUUAAAAAUUGGGUCUGUUCGACCUUUAAAAUUUUACAUGAUCUGAGUU